GUGGUAGCAAAGAGUACUUAGGGAGACAUCCUCGAGUAAACUCACGAACUACCAUCGUGACAGGGACUGAACCUUGUAAUUAUGGUUCACGAACGAGGAAUUUCUAGUAAGCGCUGGUCACCAUCCAGCGCUGAUUAUGUCUCUGCCCUUUGUACACACCGCCCGUCGCUACUACCGAUUGAAUGACUUAGCGAGAACUUGGUGGUAGCUUUUAAAUUCCCAAAAGAGUUUAUUAGCUACAAACUUGUUUGAGCUUGGUCGUUUAGAGGAAGUAAAAGUCGUAACAAGGUUUCCGUAGGUGAACCUGCGGAAGGAUCAU
Molecule: ribosomal RNA, 319 nt
Filed under: Tetracapsuloides bryosalmonae
Lineage: Eukaryota; Metazoa; Cnidaria; Myxozoa; Malacovalvulida; Saccosporidae
Description: bacterial SSU rRNA
Rfam family: Eukaryotic small subunit ribosomal RNA
Source: RNAcentral